UGACUUUGACAGGAGAAAUGAACAUGAACAGGGGACUGUCAGCGAGCAGAAAUAUUUCUGCCCCUCUGAAUCUCUUAUCCCGUCGAGAGUGCACACAGGCUCGGCAAUGGUCGCAGGUACAAAAUGCUUUAGGCCUGAAACCAGUGAAUUGGGCUUGGGCAUCCAUAUGAUAGGCAGUGCGCUGGAUCAGUGGAAGCAAUCCGUCCGAGCUUCUUUCACAGGCCGAACUCAGGCGAUCUUCUUUACCAUCUCAGUUCAGGUGGGAAACAAAUGAUCUCAUCAUAUUCAGACCAUACAGCCGCAUCCACAUUCUUAUUCAAUUUAUUGUUUGUGGGAACUUGCAUUUCUGUUUUUACUUUGAAAAGAAUUCAAGUCUUUUUUUUUUUGAAUAUGAAAAGAAUUCAAGUCUUGGUAUACUUUUGCAAAAGAACAACACACACUAGCCAGUGGCAGAACUUGUUUAACCAGGCAGCUCUUGGGAGAGACAUACAUGUCGCCACAUGUCGGCACAAAGAGUUUCCAAUUCUUAUUCUGAUUUUUUGACAUGUGUACCUACCUGAAAAGAGAUAUUUUGUCUUGUAGACAGCUAGUGUAGUAGUGGUUAACUGAACUGCCGGCGGUCAUUGUCUCUUUCAUUAUCCUUAUAAUGUAGUCGACCGAGUUUACUACAGCCACUUGAUGAC
This 683-nucleotide long non-coding RNA is filed under the name Triticum aestivum (bread wheat). Its description in RNAcentral is "long non-coding RNA (TAES_LNC010895)". The record is from RNAcentral. Lineage: Eukaryota; Viridiplantae; Streptophyta; Magnoliopsida; Poales; Poaceae.